AACGCACGAGACCUGCGGACCUGCGGAAGGAUCAUUACUGAAGUGCUUGGAGAUGUUGCUGGCUUCUUCUAGAAGCAAUGUGCACUCUUCCAACUAUUCAAAAUUUCCUACACACCCCCCUUGUGCACUCUCUGUAGGGUACUCCCUCCCAGGGGAAGACUCUAUGUUGUUUUGCUAUCCUUCACACCUCAUAGAAUGUAUGGUGAUGAUGAAUACAAAAAAUUGUAACAACUUUUAGCA
This 240-nucleotide unclassified non-coding RNA is filed under the name soil metagenome. Its description in RNAcentral is "partial contains 5.8S ribosomal RNA, internal transcribed spacer 2, and large subunit ribosomal RNA". The record is from RNAcentral.